UUUCAACUCCCUAACCCUCAUGUGAACCUACCUAUUGUUGCUUCGGCGGACUCGCCCCAGCCGGACGCGGACUGGACCGGCGGCCGCCGGGGACCUCAAACUCUUGUAUUAUCAGCAUCUUCUGAAUACGCCGCAAGGCAAAACAAAUAAAUCAAAACUUUCAACAACGGAUCUCUUGGCUCUGGCAUCGAUGAAGAACGCAGCGAAAUGCGAUAAGUAAUGUGAAUUGCAGAAUCCAGUGAAUCAUCGAAUCUUUGAACGCACAUUGCGCCCGCCAGCAUUCUGGCGGGCAUGCCUGUUCGAGCGUCAUUUCAACCCUCGACCUCCCUUUGGGGAAGUCGGCGUUGGGGACCGGCAGCACACCGCCGGCCCUGAAAUGGAGUGGCGGCCCGUCCGCGGCGACCUCUGCGUAGUAAUCCAACUCGCACCGGAACCCCGACGUGGCCACGCCGUAAAACACCCAACUUCUGAACGUUGACCUCGAAUCAGGUAGGACUACCCGCUGAACUUAAGCAUAUCAAUAAGCGG
RNAcentral lists this ribosomal RNA (528 nucleotides) under Beauveria sp. RNAcentral describes it as "eukaryotic LSU rRNA". The stretch from base 156 to 309 matches the Rfam family "5.8S ribosomal RNA". The record is from RNAcentral. Lineage: Eukaryota; Fungi; Ascomycota; Sordariomycetes; Hypocreales; Cordycipitaceae.